RNAcentral lists this long non-coding RNA (1817 nucleotides) under Calidris pugnax (ruff). Its description in RNAcentral is "lncRNA (ENSCPUG00000005662.1)". Lineage: Eukaryota; Metazoa; Chordata; Aves; Charadriiformes; Scolopacidae. The record is from RNAcentral.
ACUCCCUUCACUUGUGGGGCGCCCCCCAAGUUAUGGGGCGCCCCCCAACUGUUCUUGGGGCCCCCCCCUGGCCCUUUUGUCCCCCCCCCAGGACGUGCUGGUGAAGGUGGUUCGCUACGAGGGGUUCUUCAGCCUCUGGAAGGGUUUCACCCCCUACUACGCCCGGCUGGGCCCCCACACGGUGCUCACCUUCAUCUUCCUCGAGCAGAUGAACAAGUGGUACCGGCGCCUCUUCCUCAGCGCCUGACCCACAGCGCCGUGGGGCAGCCCCAUAGGGGCUGUGGGGCAGACCCAUAGCAGCCCGGGGGGGGGCCCUACCCCCAUAGGGGCUGUGGGGCAGACCCAUAGCGGCCCGGGGGGGGGCCCUACAGCGGACCUAUGGGGGGUUUAUGGGCCCUACGGGGGUCUACGGGACAUCUCAUGGGGCUAUGGGGUAGCUUGUGGUCCCUCGUGGUCCCUGUGGGGGCCAUGGGGCAGCCCCAUAGCGGCCCUAUGGGGGGUUUAUGGGCCCUAUGGGGUGUCUUGUGUUCCCUGUGGGGGCUGUGGGGCAGCCCCAUAGCGGCCCUAUGGGGGGUUUAUGGGCCCUAUAGGGGCUGGGUUAUGUCACAUGGGCCCCAUAGCGGCCCUAUGGGGAGUUUAUGGGCCCUAUAGGGGCUGGGUUGUGUCAUAUAGGCCCCAUAGCAACUGUGGGGCAGCCCCAUAGCGGCCCUAUGGGGGGUUUAUGGGCCCUACGGGGGUCUAUGGGACAUCUCAUGGGGCUAUGGGGUGUCUCGUGGUCCCUGUGGGGGCCGUGGGGCAGCCCCAUAGCAGCCCUAUGGGGGGUUUAUGGGCCCUAUGGGGUGUCUUGUGGUCCCUGUGGGGGCUGUGGGGCAGCCCCAUAGCGGCUGUGGGGUGGCCCUAUGGGGUCUGUGGGGUGUCUCGUGGCCUCUAUGGGGCCUGUGGGGCAGCCCCACGGCCCUAUGGGGGCUGGAGAGUGUGCCUAUGGGGGGCUAUAGGAUGUCCUGGGGUCCCUAUAGGGGGCUAUGGGGCAGCCCCACAUCCCUAUGGGGGCUGUGGGGUGCCCCCCAUCUCCCUAUGGAUCAGUUGGAGCCGCUAUGGGGCAGCCCCAUAUUCCCCUCCUUCUGCCCCAACACUCUGGGGUCACGUGCCCCACGGCGUUUUCCCCCCCCUGCCCCACACUUGGGGGGUGGACUCCCCCCACUCCUGCCCCACACAUGUCCCUCUGCCCCCCAACCAGCCUAAGGUCAAUUUUUAGGGGGGCGGGGGAGGAAUCAAGUGUUUUAUUGAUUGUCAAGGUCACGUGUGGGGCAGGAGCCCCCCAACCUCUGCCCCAUAGCGGGCUACCCCCCACCCCCUCCCCGCCCCACACGCUGCCGUGGGGCACCCCACGGCCCCUGGAAAGCGCUUCGUUAAUGACUCCUUGAUUUAAAAUAAUUAAAAUGAAAUCAUGACGAGAGCAACAAGUGAUGUGGUUGGGGGGCAGACCCAUGGAGAUGGGGCCUACCCCACAGCAGCUGGGGUUGUGACCCACGGCAGGUUUGGGGGGCUGACCCACAGCAAGUGGGGCCUGCCCCAUAGCAGUGUUGGGAGGUCUGACCCAUGGUGGAGCCUGACCCAUGAUAGGGCCUGCCCCAUAGCAAAGCCUGCCCCACAGCAGGCUUGGAGGCCUGACCGACGCUAAUAGGGCCUGCCCCAUAGCGUAGCCCACCCCACAGCGUACUUGAGGCUCUGCCCCACAUCGAGCUGGGUCCCUUUUCCCCUCACUCACCCACGGUUGCCUCAGCUUCUCCACGGCGGGACCAGGCCCACAAUGGCCU